This 472-nucleotide ribosomal RNA is filed under the name uncultured bacterium. RNAcentral describes it as "partial 16S ribosomal RNA". It matches the Rfam family "Bacterial small subunit ribosomal RNA", at positions 29 to 507 of the family's 1533-position model. The record is from RNAcentral.
AUAAACGCUGGCGGCGCACAUAAGACGUGCAAGUUGAACGGACUUAAUCGAAAUAUUUAUAUUUUGAAGCGGUUAGUGGCGGACUGGUGAGUAACGCGUAAGGAACCUGCCUAUUAGAGGGGAAUAACAGUGAGAAAUCAUUGCUAAUACCGCAUAUGCCAUAGAUAUCACAUGAUAACAGUGGGAAAGGAGCAAUCCGCUAAUAGAUGGCCUUGCGUCUGAUUAGAUAGUUGGUGGGGUAACGGCCUACCAAGUCGACGAUCAGUAGCCGGACUGAGAGGUUGAACGGCCACAUUGGGACUGAGAUACGGCCCAGACUCCUACGGGAGGCAGCAGUCGGGAAUAUUGCGCAAUGGAGGAAACUCUGACGCAGUGACGCCGCGUAUAGGAAGAAGGUUUUCGGAUUGUAAACUAUUGUCGUUAGGGAAGAGAAAGGACAGUACCUAAGGAGGAAGCUCCGGCUAACUACGUG